This 709-nucleotide ribosomal RNA is filed under the name Pectobacterium carotovorum subsp. carotovorum. RNAcentral's name for it is "bacterial SSU rRNA". It matches the Rfam family "Bacterial small subunit ribosomal RNA", at positions 8 to 705 of the family's 1533-position model. Lineage: Bacteria; Pseudomonadati; Pseudomonadota; Gammaproteobacteria; Enterobacterales; Pectobacteriaceae. The record is from RNAcentral.
AGAGUUUGAUCAUGGCUCAGAUUGAACGCUGGCGGCAGGCCUAACACAUGCAAGUCGAGCGGUACCACAGGAGAGCUUGCUCUCUGGGUGACGAGCGGCGGACGGGUGAGUAAUGUCUGGGAAACUGCCUGAUGGAGGGGGAUAACUACUGGAAACGGUAGCUAAUACCGCAUAACCUCGCAAGAGCAAAGAGGGGGACCUUCGGGCCUCUCGCCAUCAGAUGUGCCCAGAUGGGAUUAGCUAGUAGGUGAGGUAAUGGCUCACCUAGGCGACGAUCCCUAGCUGGUCUGAGAGGAUGACCAGCCACACUGGAACUGAGACACGGUCCAGACUCCUACGGGAGGCGGCAGUGGGGAAUAUUGCACAAUGGGCGCAAGCCUGAUGCAGCCAUGCCGCGUGUGUGAAGAAGGCCUUCGGGUUGUAAAGCACUUUCAGCGAGGAGGAAGGCAGUCGUGUUAAUAGCACGGUUGAUUGACGUUACUCGCAGAAGAAGCACCGGCUAACUCCGUGCCAGCAGCCGCGGUAAUACGGAGGGUGCAAGCGUUAAUCGGAAUGACUGGGCGUAAAGCGCACGCAGGCGGUCUGUCAAGUUGGAUGUGAAAUCCCCCGGGCUUAACCUGGGAACUGCAUUCCCAACUGACAGGCUAGAGUCUUGUAGAGGGGGGUAGAAUUCCCGGUGUAGCGGUGAAAUGCCCACAGAUCUGGAGGA